Molecule: long non-coding RNA, 556 nt
Filed under: Homo sapiens (human)
Lineage: Eukaryota; Metazoa; Chordata; Mammalia; Primates; Hominidae
Description: HSALNT0345101
Source: RNAcentral
AGGCAAAUGAAUAUUUAUUCUCUGUAGUCAGGCUGUGUGGCACUUCGUGGCUGAACCGACAGAAUUGUGUUCACCAGACCCCAAAAACUUUUACAGCCCCAUCUAUAGAUAUGAUCAAUACACACAGGGCCAGAGAAGUAUGUUAUACUCUUCACAAAAAAGAAAAGCAGGCAGGCUAGGCGCGGUGGCUCACGCCUGUAAUCCCAGCACUUUGGGAGUUCAAGGCAUCAUGUGUCAUUCUCACAGCUGUUAGGACUUCAAUGAUGUUAUAAGGAAGUUGGGGCUCAGAGAAGCUACAGAACUUACCCAAGGACACACAGCCAUCACGAAAAACAUGGCCAGCAAAGCAGGUGAGGCAAAGAUCAGGAAGGACAUUAAACGCCAAACUAAGGAGCGGAACUGAAUGAGCAGUGAAGGGGAACAAUGGCUUCAGCAGGUCCACUGGGCUCCUCUUUUCUGUCAGCCUCCCCCUACCCCUCACCUCUGUACUACUCAUGUUACUAUCUACGUCUCUUCACCAAUGUCAUUGUGGAAAUAAAAGCUUAUCUGUAAGAGU